This 484-nucleotide ribosomal RNA is filed under the name uncultured bacterium. RNAcentral's name for it is "partial 16S ribosomal RNA". It matches the Rfam family "Bacterial small subunit ribosomal RNA", at positions 28 to 507 of the family's 1533-position model. The record is from RNAcentral.
AUUGAACGCUGGCGGCAUGCUUUACACAUGCAAGUCGAACGGCAGCGCGGGCUUCGGCCUGGCGGCGAGUGGCGAACGGGUGAGUAAUGCAUCGGAACUUGCCCAGUAGUGGGGGAUAGCCCGGCGAAAGCCGGAUUAAUACCGCAUACGACCUGAGGGUGAAAGCGGGGGACCGAAAGGCCUCGCGCUAUUGGAGCGGCCGAUGUCGGAUUAGCUAGUUGGUGGGGUAAAGGCUUACCAAGGCGACGAUCCGUAGCUGGUCUGAGAGGACGACCAGCCACACUGGGACUGAGACACGGCCCAGACUCCUACGGGAGGCAGCAGUGGGGAAUUUUGGACAAUGGGGGCAACCCUGAUCCAGCCAUGCCGCGUGCGGGAAGAAGGCCUUCGGGUUGUAAACCGCUUUUGUUCGGGAAGAAAUCCUCUGGGCUAAUACCCCGGGGGGAUGACGGUACCGGAAGAAUAAGCACCGGCUAACUACGUG